AUUACCUUGGCAGAUUAGUGCUUUAAAUUUAGAAUUUAAAUAUGUAUGUUGAUUACAGGUAAUA
This 64-nucleotide transfer RNA is filed under the name Miridiba trichophora. RNAcentral's name for it is "tRNA-Leu". The record is from RNAcentral. Lineage: Eukaryota; Metazoa; Arthropoda; Insecta; Coleoptera; Scarabaeidae.